Molecule: ribosomal RNA, 465 nt
Filed under: uncultured bacterium
Lineage: Bacteria
Description: partial 16S ribosomal RNA
Rfam family: Bacterial small subunit ribosomal RNA
Source: RNAcentral
CCUACGGGAGGCAGCAGUGGGGAAUAUUGCGCAAUGGGCGAAAGCCUGACGCAGCGACGCCGCGUGAGGGAUGAAGGUCUUCGGAUCGUAAACCUCUGUCAGCAGGGAAGAAAGGUCACUGUGCUAAUCAGCAGUGAAUUGACGGUACCUGCAAAGGAAGCACCGGCUAACUCCGUGCCAGCAGCCGCGGUAAUACGGAGGGUGCGAGCGUUAAUCGGAAUUACUGGGCGUAAAGCGCUCGUAGGCGGUAUGUCAAGUCAAGGGUGAAAUCCCCGCGCUCAACGUGGGAACUGCCUUUGAAACGGGCAGACUGGAGUGUGUGAGAGGAUAGUGGAAUUCCAGGUGUAGGAGUGAAAUCCGUAGAUAUCUGGAGGAACAUCAGUGGCGAAGGCGACUAUCUGGCACAUAACUGACGCUGAGGAGCGAAAGCGUGGGUAGCAAACAGGAUUAGAUACCCGAGUAGUC